UUUAUGGAGAGUUUGAUCCUGGCUCAGAGUGAACGCUGGCGGCGUGCCUAAUACAUGCAAGUCGAACGAUGAAGCUUCUAGCUUGCUAGAGUGCUGAUUAGUGGCGCACGGGUGAGUAACGCAUAGGUUAUGUGCCUCUUAGUUUGGGAUAGCCAUUGGAAACGAUGAUUAAUACCAGAUACUCCCUACGGGGGAAAGAUUUAUCGCUAAGAGAUCAGCCUAUGUCCUAUCAGCUUGUUGGUAAGGUAAUGGCUUACCAAGGCUAUGACGGGUAUCCGCCUGAGAGGGUGAACGGACACACUGGAACUGAGACACGGUCCAGACUCCUACGGGAGGCAGCAGUAGGGAAUAUUGCUCAAUGGGGGAAACCCUGAAGCAGCAACGCCGCGUGGAGGAUGAAGGUUUUAGGAUUGUAAACUCCUUUUGUUAGAGAAGAUAAUGACGGUAUCUAACGAAUAAGCACCGGCUAACUCCGUGCCAGCAGCCGCGGUAAUACGGAGGGUGCAAGCGUUACUCGGAAUCACUGGGCGUAAAGAGCGCGUAGGCGGGAUAGUCAGUCAGGUGUGAAAUCCUAUGGCUUAACCAUAGAACUGCAUUUGAAACUACUAUUCUAGAGUGUGGGAGAGGUAGGUGGAAUUCUUGGUGUAGGGGUAAAAUCCGUAGAGAUCAAGAGGAAUACUCAUUGCGAAGGCGACCUGCUGGAACAUUACUGACGCUGAUUGCGCGAAAGCGUGGGGAGCAAACAGGAUUAGAUACCCUGGUAGUCCACGCCCUAAACGAUGGAUGCUAGUUGUUGGAGGGCUUAGUCUCUCCAGUAAUGCAGCUAACGCAUUAAGCAUCCCGCCUGGGGAGUACGGUCGCAAGAUUAAAACUCAAAGGAAUAGACGGGGACCCGCACAAGCGGUGGAGCAUGUGGUUUAAUUCGAAGAUACACGAAGAACCUUACCUAGGCUUGACAUUGAGAGAAUCCGCUAGAAAUAGUGGAGUGUCUGGCUUGCCAGAUCUUGAAAACAGGUGCUGCACGGCUGUCGUCAGCUCGUGUCGUGAUGUUGGGUUAAGUCCCGCAACGAGCGCAACCCCCUUUCUUAGUUGCUAACAGGUUAUGCUGAGAACUCUAAGGAUACUGCCUCCGUAAGGAGGAGGAAGGUGGGGACGACGUCAAGUCAUCAUGGCCCUUACGCCUAGGGCUACACACGUGCUACAAUGGGGUGCAAAGAGAAGCAAUACUGCGAAGUGGAGCCAAUCUUCAAAACACCUCUCAGUUCGGAUUGUAGGCUGCAACUCGCCUGCAUGAAGCUGGAAUCGCUAGUAAUCGCAAAUCAGCCAUGUUGCGGUGAAUACGUUCCCGGGUCUUGUACUCACCGCCCGUCACACCAUGGGAGUUGUGUUUGCCUUAAGUCAGGAUGCUAAAUUGGCUACUGCCCACGGCACACACAGCGACUGGGGUGAAGUCGUAACAAGGUAACCGUAGGUGAACCUGCGGUUGGAUCACCUCCUUU
RNAcentral lists this ribosomal RNA (1499 nucleotides) under Helicobacter pylori. RNAcentral describes it as "bacterial SSU rRNA". It matches the Rfam family "Bacterial small subunit ribosomal RNA". Lineage: Bacteria; Pseudomonadati; Campylobacterota; Epsilonproteobacteria; Campylobacterales; Helicobacteraceae. The record is from RNAcentral.